AGUAAAGUCGUAACAAGGUCUCCGUUGUGAACCAGCGGAGGGAUCAUUA
This 49-nucleotide ribosomal RNA is filed under the name Ophiostoma ips. Its description in RNAcentral is "partial 18S ribosomal RNA". Lineage: Eukaryota; Fungi; Ascomycota; Sordariomycetes; Ophiostomatales; Ophiostomataceae. The record is from RNAcentral.